This is a long non-coding RNA of Nematostella vectensis (starlet sea anemone), 511 nucleotides long. RefSeq lists it as uncharacterized. The record is from RefSeq and is a predicted model, not a curated record. NCBI's taxonomy places the organism in Eukaryota, Metazoa, Cnidaria, Anthozoa, Actiniaria, Edwardsiidae. The transcript is spliced from 3 exons.
ACCCCAAUCCGCGACGUGCAGAAUCUCACGACUCAUAACCCAGACAAGACCCUUCAAGUUUGGUUACGUAGAAUUACACAUUCCCAGUUUCUGCUCGCGUUUUGAGUCAUUUAUCAAAACAAAAUGUUAAUGCAAGUCGCUACGAGAGCUAUUAGACCCCAUGUUUCCGCCGCCGCACGGACUAUACUGACCAGACAGCCUUUGCAGAGAGUUGGGAAUCGUACUGUCUUCUACACACAACGAAAAAGACCGGCUACAACAGAAGAAAAUGUUACUAUGUGGGUAGGCCUGGGAACUUUUUUCCUUUCUGUUGCAGUGUGUGCAAAGAUGGGAACCUUCGAUCUUUCCUACAAAAGCUCCGACUAGAUAGACGUGAUGUACAAUUAUUGGCAUUAUCAAGUGUUUUACGAAGAGAAGUUUAUAUCAGAUGUAUACAUAGAUCAGAGCCACAGUAAUCGUGAAUAUAUAACGAUACAUUUGCGUUGUAAUAAAGAAAUAUUUUCGAGAAAAA